Molecule: ribosomal RNA, 253 nt
Filed under: uncultured bacterium
Lineage: Bacteria
Description: partial 16S ribosomal RNA
Rfam family: Bacterial small subunit ribosomal RNA
Source: RNAcentral
UACGGAGGGAGCUAGCGUUGUUCGGAAUUACUGGGCGUAAAGCGCACGUAGGCGGCUUUGUAAGUUAGAGGUGAAAGCCCGGGGCUCAACCCCGGAAUUGCCUUUAAGACUGCAUCGCUUGAAUCCGGGAGAGGUGAGUGGAAUUCCGAGUGUAGAGGUGAAAUUCGUAGAUAUUCGGGAGAACACCAGUGGCGAAGGCGGCUCACUGGACCGGUAUUGACGCUGAGGUGCGAAAGCGUGGGGAGCAAACAGG